UUGACCUACGCGACGCAGCAGUGAGGAAUAUUGGUCAAUGGACGAGAGUCUGAACCAGCCAAGUAGCGUGAAGGAUGACUGCCCUAUGGGUUGUAAACUUCUUUUAUAUGGGAAUAAAAUGUUCCACGUGUGGGAUUUUGUAUGUACCAUAUGAAUAAGGAUCGGCUAACUCCGUGCCAGCAGCCGCGGUAAUACGGAGGAUCCGAGAGUUAUCCGGAUUUAUUGGGGUUAAUGGGAGCGUAGGUGGAUUGUUAAGUCAGUUGU
Molecule: ribosomal RNA, 264 nt
Filed under: uncultured bacterium
Lineage: Bacteria
Description: partial 16S ribosomal RNA
Rfam family: Bacterial small subunit ribosomal RNA
Source: RNAcentral